CCCGGUUGGGUGAUAGUGCUUGGAUGAACAGCUGAAUUCCUGGUCACACAACACAGUGUCUGAGGUGAGGUAUGGUGGAGCAGUGGCGAGGUGGACGUCGUAACCUCACACUACCAUCCCUAGGGUCUGCACUCAGGUUUCAUAGAAGCAGCCAGGCAGAGAACCACCCUGCAGGGCCUGUAGGCUAUGCCUGUUGCAUUCAGUGUAGUCUUUGAGGUGGAAAUAAAGUUGAAGGUUUCACCUACAAGCUGUGCUCUUGUUGCAGUUCAUUCCAUUACAACUGGUGUCUGUCAGAAAACACAC
RNAcentral lists this long non-coding RNA (303 nucleotides) under Locusta migratoria (migratory locust). RNAcentral's name for it is "partial Lnc36962". Lineage: Eukaryota; Metazoa; Arthropoda; Insecta; Orthoptera; Acrididae. The record is from RNAcentral.